GAUGAACGCUGGCGGCGUGCCUAAUACAUGCAAGUCGAACGCACAGCGAAAGGUGCUUGCACCUUUCAAGUGAGUGGCGAACGGGUGAGUAACACGUGGACAACCUGCCUCAAGGCUGGGGAUAACAUUUGGAAACAGAUGCUAAUACCGAAUAAAACUUAGUGUCGCAUGACACAAAGUUAAAAGGCGCUUUGGCGUCACCUAGAGAUGGAUCCGCGGUGCAUUAGUUAGUUGGUGGGGUAAAGGCCUACCAAGACAAUGAUGCAUAGCCGAGUUGAGAGACUGAUCGGCCACAUUGGGACUGAGACACGGCCCAAACUCCUACGGGAGGCUGCAGUAGGGAAUCUUCCACAAUGGGCGAAAGCCUGAUGGAGCAACGCCGCGUGUGUGAUGAAGGCUUUCGGGUCGUAAAGCACUGUUGUAUGGGAAGAACAGCUAGAAUAGGAAAUGAUUUUAGUUUGACGGUACCAUACCAGAAAGGGACGGCUAAAUACGUGCCAGCAGCCGCGGUAAUACGUAUGUCCCGAGCGUUAUCCGGAUUUAUUGGGCGUAAAGCGAGCGCAGGUGGUUUAUUAAGUCUGGUGUAAAAGGCAGUGGCUCAACCAUUGUAUGCAUUGGAAAACUGGUAGACUUGAGUGCAGGAGAGGAGAGUGGAAUUCCAUGU
RNAcentral lists this ribosomal RNA (664 nucleotides) under uncultured Leuconostoc sp. RNAcentral's name for it is "bacterial SSU rRNA". It matches the Rfam family "Bacterial small subunit ribosomal RNA", at positions 28 to 674 of the family's 1533-position model. The record is from RNAcentral. Lineage: Bacteria; Bacillati; Bacillota; Bacilli; Lactobacillales; Lactobacillaceae.